AUGUUCAAUCCUUCUUCCUCGCUCGCUCCCACCUACAGUGACCCCUCCAUGCACCAUGCAGUGAACCCCUCUGGUGAUUUGCACACAGCUCCGACCGAAAUUCCUCGCGGCACCGGUUUCCUCCAUGCCAAUGGUGGCCUGUUUUCUCCGGUCGAUGUUGCUGCUUCAGCGCCGCCUUCCUGCAUCUCUCCCCUUCCUCCCUACAAUAUCAACACGAUCACCAGCACACACCCCUUACCAUUUCACCUCCAGUCUCUUGAACCCCUCAACGGUAAUGCUGCCUUCUCUUGCCCGUCUCGUUCGACAUGGCAGUUGCAUCCACCCCCAUUUGCUUCCUCCCCUUCCUCGUCCUCUGGUGACUUCUUUGAAUUCAGCAGCUCCGAUACCAUGCGGCGUGUCCUCAGCACCGGUGACCUGCAGGGCAACAAUGUUUCGCCACCAUUGCCGCCACCGCCAAUACCGCCACAAUUUCCAGGCGACAACUGCAGCCAGGAAGCUGGUGAUCCUUUUUCAGAGAAGGUGGGGCGUUACAGCGCCGAGGAACGGAAGGAGAGGAUCGAGAGGUACCGCGCCAAGCGCCAGCAGAGGAACUUCCACAAGAAGAUAACUUACGCUUGCAGGAAGACGCUGGCAGAUAGCCGGCCGAGGGUGCAGGGCCGCUUCGCCAGGAACAUGGAGGCGGAGGGCGACAUGGAGACGGAGGCGUCUGACAUCAGCUACGAGUACUGCCCAUACAACAACCUCGGCGGCAACCGCUACGACAGCCAGAGCCAGUGCGUGGAAACCGUCGGUGAUGGCACGGCGUUUGACGACAGCAAGUGGUGGUGGGGCACGCCGGUGGCAGCCAACAGGCAGCAGCAGCUUGGUUUCGACGUCGACGACGACGAAUCCCAGCUGUGGGCCAGCCUCGCUGACAUGUGCUAG
This 924-nucleotide ribosomal RNA is filed under the name Triticum aestivum (bread wheat). Its description in RNAcentral is "partial small subunit ribosomal RNA". The record is from RNAcentral. Lineage: Eukaryota; Viridiplantae; Streptophyta; Magnoliopsida; Poales; Poaceae.